Long non-coding RNA from Fukomys damarensis (Damara mole-rat), 1278 nucleotides. RefSeq lists it as uncharacterized. The record is from RefSeq and is a predicted model, not a curated record. The transcript has 3 exons. Lineage: Eukaryota; Metazoa; Chordata; Mammalia; Rodentia; Bathyergidae.
UAAAAAAUAUGUAUUUGAUUUGCUUCAGGGAGGAUUGCAGCUACAACGGUGCACAGUCCUGCCUUGUCCUAGCCUGGGGCUCUCAGCCCAUGGGCGGGGCUGUCUUCUCUAGGAGGUUCACAGUACGUUGACUGAGUGAUCGAGUCUCUAGGCAUCUUCUUGUCAGGGUAGAAACAGGCACGCACCUCUGUAGCAGGACUAGGCCAUGGUCUGGUGCUCUACUGCAUGCAGAAAGUGGGAGACCUGGGUGGUAGUCAGAUGGGUUUGCCCUUUGUGCCCUAGCAGCCAAAUUAGCCCUGCCUGUUUGCCAGCUGACCACACUCUGGCCCUUUCUGCUCAGAUCUUCCCUAAAGGUGGCAGGUGAGACACAAGAAAGAGGCCCCACCCUAGUCACGGCACUAUGAUCAUCUUCCAUGUCAACAAACACCCUCUGAGUCACCUGGAAGGCUGGGUGACAUAAGGACAUUACUGACCCUAUAGCUGGUGCCAGGACCUGUGCAAAGCUUACAUGGCACUCAGGGGACCAAGGCCCAGCACGAAGAGUUCAGUCCACGGUCAGUUGGCUUGAAGGCAGGAACAUCAUGGCAGAAGGGGAUGGUGGAGCGCUUCAUGCAUGGCUGGAUGUAUGGAUACACAGGUGGUGUGGGUACAAGAUGGAAUUCUGGAAAUCUGGAAGAUGAGCAAAACCAGGAGCAGAAGCCAGUCAUGCUGCCUCCCCACUCACUGAGGGCACUUGCAUCACCCAUGCCUGGCCCCUCGCAACCACCCUGGGCAUCACGCUUGCAACCUGUUUCCGGCCCCUUAAUUGAAUGAAGUGUGCAGCCGGGUGCCCGCAGAGGGUGGUGAGGCUGUCAGGCAGGGAGAGAAAUUACUCCCAGAUUCAGGGAGUGGAGUUGGCUGCUGACUUAUUUAUUGAUUGACUUGAAAUAACAGCAAUCGAAUCACAGCCAGGCAGGGGUAGAGUGGCCAGGCCUUCCACUAUGUUAUGAUGCACGCAUUUUAAAUGUACAGUUGCUCACUCCUGACAGAGGCCUGCAUCUUUGUCACCAUACCCUAACCAAGAUUGUGAACACUUCCAUCUUCCACAAGUCCUGUCCGGCUCUUCCUGUCCCAUAUUCCCCCUUCCCCACAACCUCUGUCCCAAAAUGCAGGUGGACAAUGCUUUGUUCUCUGACUCAGCAGGUACUGACUUUUAUUUUCCCCGUAAAAAAAUGGCUGGGGAUUGAAUCCAAGACCUUUCAUAUGGCAAGCAUUCACCACUGAGUCACACCUCUACUC